UUAAGCGACUAAGCGUACACGGUGGAUGCCCUGGCAGUCAGAGGCGAUGAAGGACGUGCUAAUCUGCGAAAAGCGCCGGCGAGGUGAUAUGAACCUUUGACCCGGCGAUGUCCGAAUGGGGAAACCCAGUGUGUUCCGACACACUAUCGUUAACUGAAUACAUAGGUUAACGAGGCGAACCGGGGGAACUGAAACAUCUAAGUACCCCGAGGAAAAGAAAUCAACCGAGAUUCCCCCAGUAGCGGCGAGCGAACGGGGAGCAGCCCGGAGUCUGAAUCAGCUUGUGUGUUAGUGGAACGGUCUGGAAAGUCCGACGGUACAGGGUGAUAGUCCCGUACACGAAAAUGCACAGGUUGUGAACUCGAAGAGUAGGGCGGGACACGUGGUAUCCUGUCUGAAUAUGGGGGGACCAUCCUCCAAGGCUAAAUACUCCUGACUGACCGAUAGUGAACCAGUACCGUGAGGGAAAGGCGAAAAGAACCCCGGCGAGGGGAGUGAAAAAGAACCUGAAACCGUGUACGUACAAGCAGUGGGAGCACCUUCGGGUGUGACUGCGUACCUUUUGUAUAAUGGGUCAGCGACUUAUAUUCUGUAGCAAGGUUAACCGUAUAGGGGAGCCGAAGGGAAACCGAGUCUUAACUGGGCGUUAAGUUGCAGGGUAUAGACCCGAAACCCGGUGAUCUAGCCAUGGGCAGGUUGAAGGUUGGGUAACACUAACUGGAGGACCGAACCGACUAAUGUUGAAAAAUUAGCGGAUGACCUGUGGCUGGGGGUGAAAGGCCAAUCAAACCGGGAGAUAGCUGGUUCUCCCCGAAAGCUAUUUAGGUAGCGCCUCGUGAACUCAUCUUCGGGGGUAGAGCACUGUUUCGGCUAGGGGGCCAUCCCGGCUUACCAACCCGAUGCAAACUACGAAUACCGAAGAAUGUUAUCACGGGAGACACACGGCGGGUGCUAACGUCCGUCGUGAAGAGGGAAACAACCCAGACCGCCAGCUAAGGUCCCAAAGUCAUGGUUAAGUGGGAAACGAUGUGGGAAGGCACAGACAGCCAGGAUGUUGGCUUAGAAGCAGCCAUCAUUUAAAGAAAGCGUAAUAGCUCACUGGUCGAGUCGGCCUGCGCGGAAGAUGUAACGGGGCUAAACCAUGCACCGAAGCUGCGGCAGCGACACUAUGUGUUGUUGGGUAGGGGAGCGUUCUGUAAGCCGUUGAAGGUGUGCUGUGAGGCAUGCUGGAGGUAUCAGAAGUGCGAAUGCUGACAUAAGUAACGAUAAAGCGGGUGAAAAGCCCGCUCGCCGGAAGACCAAGGGUUCCUGUCCAACGUUAAUCGGGGCAGGGUGAGUCGACCCCUAAGGCGAGGCCGAAAGGCGUAGUCGAUGGGAAACAGGUUAAUAUUCCUGUACUUGGUGUUACUGCGAAGGGGGGACGGAGAAGGCUAUGUCAGCCGGGCGACGGUUGUCCCGGUUUAAGCAUGUAGGCGGAGGUUCCAGGUAAAUCCGGUACCUUGUUAACGCUGAGGUGUGAUGACGAGGCACUACGGUGCUGAAGUGAUAAAUGCCCUGCUUCCAGGAAAAGCCUCUAAGCAUCAGGUAACACGAAAUCGUACCCCAAACCGACACAGGUGGUCAGGUAGAGAAUACCAAGGCGCUUGAGAGAACUCGGGUGAAGGAACUAGGCAAAAUGGUGCCGUAACUUCGGGAGAAGGCACGCUGAUAUGUAGGUGAAGUCCCUGCGGACGGAGCUGAAAUCAGUCGAAGAUACCAGCUGGCUGCAACUGUUUAUUAAAAACACAGCACUGUGCAAACACGAAAGUGGACGUAUACGGUGUGACGCCUGCCCGGUGCCGGAAGGUUAAUUGAUGGGGUUAGCGGCAACGCGAAGCUCUUGAUCGAAGCCCCGGUAAACGGCGGCCGUAACUAUAACGGUCCUAAGGUAGCGAAAUUCCUUGUCGGGUAAGUUCCGACCUGCACGAAUGGCGUAAUGAUGGCCAGGCUGUCUCCACCCGAGACUCAGUGAAAUUGAACUCGCUGUGAAGAUGCAGUGUACCCGCGGCAAGACGGAAAGACCCCGUGAACCUUUACUAUAGCUUGACACUGAACACUGGUCCUUGAUGUGUAGGAUAGGUGGGAGGCUUUGAAGCGUGGACGCCAGUCUGCGUGGAGCCAUCCUUGAAAUACCACCCUUUAAUGGCUGGUGUUCUAACGUAGACCCGUGAUCCGGGUUGCGGACAGUGUCUGGUGGGUAGUUUGACUGGGGCGGUCUCCUCCCAAAGAGUAACGGAGGAGCACGAAGGUUGGCUAAUCCUGGUCGGACAUCAGGAGGUUAGUGCAAUGGCAUAAGCCAGCUUGACUGCGAGCGUGACGGCGCGAGCAGGUGCGAAAGCAGGUCAUAGUGAUCCGGUGGUUCUGAAUGGAAGGGCCAUCGCUCAACGGAUAAAAGGUACUCCGGGGAUAACAGGCUGAUACCGCCCAAGAGUUCAUAUCGACGGCGGUGUUUGGCACCUCGAUGUCGGCUCAUCACAUCCUGGGGCUGAAGUAGGUCCCAAGGGUAUGGCUGUUCGCCAUUUAAAGUGGUACGCGAGCUGGGUUUAGAACGUCGUGAGACAGUUCGGUCCCUAUCUGCCGUGGGCGCUGGAGAAUUGAGGGGGGCUGCUCCUAGUACGAGAGGACCGGAGUGGACGCAUCACUGGUGUUCGGGUUGUCAUGCCAAUGGCACUGCCCGGUAGCUAAAUGCGGAAGAGAUAAGUGCUGAAAGCAUCUAAGCACGAAACUUGCCCCGAGAUGAGUUCUCCCUGAGACCUUGAGUCUCCUGAAGGAACGUUGAAGACGACGACGUUGAUAGGUCGGGUGUGUAAGCGCAGCGAUGCGUUGAGCUAACCGAUACUAAUGAACCGUGAGGCUUAACCUU
This 2902-nucleotide ribosomal RNA is filed under the name Enterobacter hormaechei. Its description in RNAcentral is "23S ribosomal RNA". It matches the Rfam family "Bacterial large subunit ribosomal RNA". Lineage: Bacteria; Pseudomonadati; Pseudomonadota; Gammaproteobacteria; Enterobacterales; Enterobacteriaceae. The record is from RNAcentral. RNAcentral also lists the same sequence under 1 other name.